CCUACGGGAGGCAGCAGUGAGGAAUAUUGGUCAAUGGACGAGAGUCUGAACCAGCCAAGUAGCGUGAAGGAUGACUGCCCUAUGGGUUGUAAACUUCUUUUAUAUGGGAAUAAAAUGUUCCACGUGUGGGAUUUUGUAUGUACCAUUUGAAUAAGGAUCGGCUAACUCCGUGCCAGCAGCCGCGGUAAUACGGAGGAUCCGAGCGUUAUCCGGAUAUAGUGGGUUUAACGGGUGCGAAGGUGGAUUGUAAAGUGAGAUGUGAAAGUUUGCGGCUCAACCGUAAAACUGGAGUGGAAACUGGCAGGCUUGAGAACAGGAGAGGUGAGCGGAAUUCGUGGUGUAGCGGUGAAAUGCUUAGAUAUCACGAAGAACUCCGAUUGCGAAGGCAGGUCACUGGACUGUAACUGACACUGAGGCUCGAAAGUGUGGGGAGCAAACAGGAUUAGAUACCCUUGUAGUC
This 460-nucleotide ribosomal RNA is filed under the name uncultured bacterium. RNAcentral's name for it is "partial 16S ribosomal RNA". It matches the Rfam family "Bacterial small subunit ribosomal RNA", at positions 338 to 795 of the family's 1533-position model. The record is from RNAcentral.